Molecule: ribosomal RNA, 440 nt
Filed under: uncultured bacterium
Lineage: Bacteria
Description: partial 16S ribosomal RNA
Rfam family: Bacterial small subunit ribosomal RNA
Source: RNAcentral
CCUACGGGUGGCAGCAGUGGGGAAUAUUGCACAAUGGGGGAAACCCUGCUGCAGCCACGCCGCGUGAGUGAUGAAGUAUUUCGGUUCGUACAGCUCUAUCAGCAGGGAAGAAAAUGACGGUACCUGACUAAGAAGCCACGGCUAACUACGUGCCAGCAGCCGCGGUAAUACGUAGGGGGCGAGCGUUAUCCGGAUUUACUGGGUGUAAAGGGAGCGUAGGCGGCAGCGCAAGUGUGAUGUGAAAUCCCCUGGCUUAACCUGGGUACUGCAUUGGAAACUGUGCAGCUAGAGUGCAGGAGAGGUGAGUGGAAUUCCGAGUGUAGCGGUGAAAUGCGUAGAGAUUAGGAGGAACACCAGUGGCGAAGGCGGCUCACUGGACUGUAACUGACGUUGAGGCUCGAAAGCGUGGGGAGCAAACAGGAUUAGAUACCCGAGUAGUC